ACUACAGUCAUCCAACGGACUAAGCACUUUACAAAGGUCAGAAAGGGGUUAGAAGAAGCCGGCGUCGAAUUACCCUUUUUGAUGUGCCACCUCAAGGCUUAAACUUACAUGGCCCCAUUGCCACUUAUCCCAUUGUCAAUCACCUCUCCUUGCACCUUCUCAUUCAUCUCAUCAAUACCUAUACAAUCUCAUUAUUGUCAUUUGCUGCUUAUUUAUCCUUGAUCGCUCCUUCAGGCUCAGGAAUGCUUCUGCUAGGUUUCUUUUUGUUCUCUCCUUCAGCUUCACACUUAUCCUUACUGAUGACCGUAUCAGCUUUAUCUUGUUCCCCAGACCCAUAUUCUUUGCAAGCCUCAACCAGUGGUUGCAUAUCCUUCUCUUGAACUUUUUCAUCCUCUAUAUUUUCCUUCUUAUUUUCAGAUAUUCCUGAACCAUCAGAUGUCCCUUUGGAGAGCCAAUGCUCUACUUCACCCUUCCCCUCUUCGGUUUUAUCAGAUUUAUCAACAUUCUGUUCAACUUUAGCUUCUUCAGUAGAAGUUGCUUCUGUUUUAGCAUCACUUUCUUGGGGUUUGUCUUUAUUAUCUUCCUGAUUUCCUUUCACAUCCUCCUUUGCAGCUUUCACAUCUGUUUCAUCCUUUCCACUUUUCCCAGCUUCCUGCAUUUGAAUUUGUUUUG
This 672-nucleotide unclassified non-coding RNA is filed under the name Hevea brasiliensis (rubber tree). Lineage: Eukaryota; Viridiplantae; Streptophyta; Magnoliopsida; Malpighiales; Euphorbiaceae. The record is from RNAcentral.